Molecule: ribosomal RNA, 507 nt
Filed under: uncultured bacterium
Lineage: Bacteria
Description: bacterial SSU rRNA
Rfam family: Bacterial small subunit ribosomal RNA
Source: RNAcentral
AUUGAACGCUGGCGGCAUGCCUUACACAUGCAAGUCGAACGGUAACGGGCCUUCGGGUGCCGACGAGUGGCGAACGGGUGAGUAAUGCAUCGGAACGUACCUUUCAGUGGGGGAUAACGUAGCGAAAGUUACGCUAAUACCGCAUAUUCUGUGAGCAGGAAAGCAGGGGAUCGCAAGACCUUGCGCUGAUUGAGCGGCCGAUGUCAGAUUAGCUAGUUGGUGAGGUAAAGGCUCACCAAGGCGACGAUCUGUAGCGGGUCUGAGAGGAUGAUCCGCCACACUGGAACUGAGACACGGUCCAGACUCCUACGGGAGGCAGCAGUGGGGAAUUUUGGACAAUGGGGGCAACCCUGAUCCAGCCAUGCCGCGUGAGUGAAGAAGGCCUUGGUUGUAAGACGUCUGUCUGGUAGGGACGGAACGGAAGGUAGGACGGUAACCGUCCGGACGGGAAGGACCGACGGCCGUAACUACGUACGUCCACGCAGACCGCGGUAACGUCUCGUCUCU